RNAcentral lists this ribosomal RNA (397 nucleotides) under uncultured bacterium. RNAcentral's name for it is "partial 16S ribosomal RNA". It matches the Rfam family "Bacterial small subunit ribosomal RNA", at positions 523 to 918 of the family's 1533-position model. The record is from RNAcentral.
AUACGUAGGUGGCAAGCGUUGUCCGGAAUUAUUGGGCGUAAAGCGCGCGCAGGCGGUCCUUUAAGUCUGAUGUGAAAGCCCACGGCUCAACCGUGGAGGGUCAUUGGAAACUGGGGGACUUGAGUGCAGAAGAGGAAAGUGGAAUUCCAAGUGUAGCGGUGAAAUGCGUAGAGAUUUGGAGGAACACCAGUGGCGAAGGCGCCUUUCUGGUCUGUAACUGACGCUGAGGCGCGAAAGCGUGGGGAGCAAACAGGAUUAGAUACCCUGGUAUUCCACGCCGUAAACGAUGAGUGCUAAGUGUUAGGGGGUUUCCGCCCCUUAGUGCUGCAGCUAACGCAUUAAGCACUCCGCCUGGGGAGUACGGUCGCAAGACUGAAACUCAAAGGAAUUGACGGGG